This 212-nucleotide ribosomal RNA is filed under the name uncultured bacterium. RNAcentral describes it as "partial 16S ribosomal RNA". It matches the Rfam family "Bacterial small subunit ribosomal RNA", at positions 524 to 735 of the family's 1533-position model. The record is from RNAcentral.
UACAGAGGUCCCAAGCGUUGUUCGGAUUCACUGGGCGUAAAGGGUGCGUAGGUGGCCAGGUAAGUUUGGUGUGAAAGCUCGGAGCUUAACUCCGAAAAGUCAUUGAAUACUAUCUGGCUGGAGGGUCGGAGGGGAGACUGGAAUUCUCGGUGUAGCAGUGAAAUGCGUAGAUAUCGAGAGGAACACCAGUGGCGAAGGCGAGUCUCUGGACG